UACGUAGGGUGCAGGCGUUAAUCGGAAUUACUGGGCGUAAAGCGUGCGCAGGCGGUUUGUUAAGACAGGUGUGAAAUCCCCGGGCUUAACCUGGGAACUGCGCUUGUUACUGGCAGACUUGAGUGUGGCAGAGGGGGGUGGAAUUCCAGGUGUAGCAGUGAAAUGCGUAGAGAUCUGGAGGAACACCGAUGGCGAAGGCAGCCCCCUGGGUUAACACUGACGCUCAUGCACGAAAGCGUGGGGAGCAAACAGGAUUAGAUACCCUGGUAGUCCACGCCCUAAACUAUGUCAACUGGUUGUCGGGGAAGCAAUUCCUUGGUAACGAAGCUAACGCGUGAAGUUGACCGCCUGGGGAGUACGGCCGCAAGGUUAAA
This 374-nucleotide ribosomal RNA is filed under the name uncultured bacterium. RNAcentral describes it as "bacterial SSU rRNA". It matches the Rfam family "Bacterial small subunit ribosomal RNA", at positions 524 to 898 of the family's 1533-position model. The record is from RNAcentral.